UACGGAGGGGACUAGCGUUGUUCGGAAUUACUGGGCGUAAAGCGCGCGUAGGCGGAUCUGUAAGUCAGGGGUGAAAUCCCGGGGCUCAACCUCGGAACUGCCUUUGAUACUGCAAAUCUCGAGUCCGGAAGAGGUGAGUGGAAUUCCUAGUGUAGAGGUGAAAUUCGUAGAUAUUAGGAAGAACACCAGUGGCGAAGGCGGCUCACUGGUCCGGUACUGACGCUGAGGUGCGAAAGCGUGGGGAGCAAACAGG
Molecule: ribosomal RNA, 253 nt
Filed under: uncultured bacterium
Lineage: Bacteria
Description: partial 16S ribosomal RNA
Rfam family: Bacterial small subunit ribosomal RNA
Source: RNAcentral